This 253-nucleotide ribosomal RNA is filed under the name uncultured bacterium. Its description in RNAcentral is "partial 16S ribosomal RNA". It matches the Rfam family "Bacterial small subunit ribosomal RNA", at positions 524 to 776 of the family's 1533-position model. The record is from RNAcentral.
GACGAACCGAGCGAACGUUAUUCGGAAUCACUGGGCUUAAAGGGCGCGUAGGCGGGCGAUCAAGUCAGGGGUGAAAGCCCCCAGCUCAACUGGGGAAGUGCCUUUGAUACUGGUCGUCUCGAGGGGGAUAGGGGCGUGCGGAACUUCCGGUGGAGCGGUGAAAUGCGUAGAUAUCGGAAGGAACACCGGUGGCGAAAGCGGCGCACUGGAUCCCUUCUGACGCUGAGGCGCGAAAGCCAGGGGAGCGAACGGG